Molecule: long non-coding RNA, 3182 nt
Organism: Brassica napus (rape)
Lineage: Eukaryota; Viridiplantae; Streptophyta; Magnoliopsida; Brassicales; Brassicaceae
Exons: 2
Source: RefSeq, a predicted model, not a curated record
AUUUUCCGUCAGAAUGUCCGUCAGAAUUACGAUGUUUUCUUGUAGUGAUUACAAUAGGAAAGCCCUAACAAAAUAUUUACAUAAUAUAAGAGAAUAUCUUAUUGAUAUCAUGAGAGAUACAAGUGUAUCUCUAUAUGCCCCCUCGAGAUGAACGAACAGAAAAAAGUCCUAUCUUGAAAGAAUGUAUGUUCAGUAAGGAGCGAGUGACCAGCUUGGCGAGAGUAUCAGUUAAUUGGUCCUUUAAUGAGACACUAAAAAAAGCUGACUGAGCUAAUUCUCAAAUAUAGUAGUAGUCUAAUACCACAUGGAGUUUUUCAUGCGUGAAUAGAGAAGAAUAGAUGUGUUUCAAAAAAAAAAAAGAAUAGAGAAGAAUAGAUUUAUUAGAGCACUUCCAACAAAAAGUUCUAAAAUGAAAUUCUUAGAAUAAAAAACAAAAAUAGUCAAAAGAUAAGAGAGAGAAUAGAGAAGAGUUCUAAGACUUUUUAGAAUUUUACUCGAACUCCAUGUGAUAUUUGUAGAUUAUUGAUUGGUUGAAUUUGUGUUUUACAAUUAAUUUUUAACUAGAGUUUGAACCGCGCAUCCGCGAGAAUAUUGGUUCUUACGUUUUAUAAAUUGAUAUUUAUUUUUAAUGAUUAGUGUUAUAUAUUUUAGAUGUGUCGCCAUAUAACUAUUUGUAUUCAAAAGAUACGGAUUGAAUCAUGUAAUAUAGUUAUUUAUGGUACAAAUAUUUCGAACCCGUUUCAGAUACAUUUGUUAUUUGCAUAUUUUAGGUUCAUAUACACCAGCACCAAACCAUCUAAACCCAGGAAGACCCAAUUUAAAAUCCACAUAAAUUUAUAAUAUCCAAACGAUGCCUAAUUUCAAAACCUAAAAAAAAUCUGAUACACAAAAGAAACAAUUCAUACCUGAAUGGGUAUCCAAAUGUCCAUGCUUAACUGAUUUUGUAAAUAAAUAAAAAAACUCUUUAUAUGUGUUUGGCUAAAUUAAGAGAAAUAAAAAUAGUUUUUAUCUAGUAAAAUAGUUAUAUGGUGUGAAAAAUUAAGUGAUAAUAUAUGUAAUACAUUUUCAUUAUUUUGAUUUAGGUUUUUAUUUUGUUCACAUAAACUAUGUCUUUGAAUUAUGUGGAUUGGUUACGUAGUUUUUCGCCGAUUGAAACUAAGAUAAUAAAUAGUAAAUUAGACUAAACCGAACUUGUAACCAUAUGCAAAACCCAAUUAUUUUAUAUUUUGAUUGUUAUAAUUGGUACAAAGUUAAUAUUGAUUAACUAAUAAAUAAAAAUCUGUAUUAUUAUUAUUAUUAUUAUGGUAAUAUAAUGAAUGAUGUGAUGUAUCAUUAGUGUAAUCUAUAUAUAUAAAAAACUGUUUGCUUCUCUCACAGGCUUCCACGUUAUCGUCCACAUAGGAAAGUCGCACGUCCUGGAGCCGCCACGUGUCCACUCACGCUAAACGCUCUGUUUCAUUAAGUCUUCGGCGUAGUGGGCUUCGUUCGGGUGUUCUGUGUCUGGGCUUAUCCAUAUCCGGCCCGAAAGCACAGAAGUCACCUCUGUAACCUUAAUCAUCUUCAGACAAGAAACGAAGGUCGCAUCUCCCCAUCCUUCGACGGCGAGUCGAUGUCGUUUCCGCUUUACCUCACCAAAAAGGUCCGAGUUAAGAGCUCGUGUUUAAUCCCAUCAAUUCGCUCCUCCACUACGUCGUCUUCAAUGCUCUGAUUCGAUCUGAAAUGCGGUGAUUUUACAGUAUAAAUAUGUGUGAGAUUUCUCCCUUCUCCAUUUCACUGAUUUGUUGUCGUCGUAUUUUCAAGCACUGGCCGUUACCGGAGUCGGUCUAGAUAUCUCUCCACCGCCGGUUCAAUCUUAGGGGGCAUUGACUCUUCCUUCUAAUUCAGCCCUCUCGGAGCGAGCAGCUUGCUUCUGUGAUUGUUGAUGAGCAGAAGAAGUAAGGCGGAAACGUCUCCGGUGAGACUACAACUACGAGAUUGGUACCUUCUAACGCCAACUCUAAUCUGGAAAACGUAAAACCGAGCCUUGUGAGACAGAUUCAUCUCAGCGUAGUUUCAUUUCCUCCAUGACUUCCAAAUGAGCCUACAAUCUAUGUAUCCUUAUUUUCUCUCAGAAAGUUUCUUCAUUUCCAAGUGUCUUUUGUUUUGAUUUUGAUUUUUUUUGUAUCAGAUAUAUAUCAAAGAGCGAAACUUUCGAGCUCACCAUUUUUUUAACUAUUCAGUUAGAUUUGAUGUUGGUUCAAAUGAACUUAAUUAUAGUUAUGGGUCGCUACUUUUUUUCUUAUAUGAACAGGGUCUUUAGUCUGCUUCACUAGAUUUGGGUUUAUAUAGUGAAUGGAAUCACUCUGUUCUAAAGUUUAUGGUACAAGUAAAAUCUAUCUGGGUUUGAGAGCUAUGAGAUUCUUAGUGUUCUAUCUUUCUCUGAUUCUAAGCGGUGGAAAACAUUAUUUUGGCUCUAAAAAUUCAGAUUCCUGUGUCAAAUUUUCAUGGUACUUGACAAGAUUACAACUUUUCUUACCAUGAAAAGACAUAAAAUUUAUAACUUGCAUUGUUGUUUAUAACUUGCAUUGUUGUUGCUUGCUUUUAUGUUAAUUGUAUAUGCCUUGUGAGCUCAUAGUAGUUAUACAUUUACAGGUUUUUGAUCUUACAGAUGUGAAACACCAUGAUUUUGUAUGUUAAGGUUUGGCGUUUUUGGGACCUUUGCAGCGAAAGGGGAUGAUUGCGCAAGAGAAUGCAGACAAAAGAUGCAGAUCAUGGUAGCAGGUGGUGAUGGUACAAGUGCUCGGGUUCGCCCAUCUCUCCUCCCUAUUUCUCGAAAUAUAUCCAUAAGUAGGUGGCGAUGUCAAUAUACUGUUGACGGAAGUUAUCAGCUGGCAUAACUCCAUGUAUAGUAGUGACAUUCUUCCCCUCUCAAGUGUUUAAUACAAGUCAUCCACCAUGGAGUUUUCUUUAUAAAUAAGCUUUUGAUUGGAAAUGGCUGAAAGUGAUAAGGACCCAGUAAGUACUCUGGGUAAGUAAGUGUAUUCAUAUAAUAAGAGAAUAAACAGCGUGUCAUUGUUGGUUUGUUUCAAAGACGAGAUAAAAAGCCUUACUAGAAGCUUUUAAGACAUUUUCUUCCAUGUAAAAGAAAAAGAAUGUUAUAAGAACCAAUGUCUGUAAAAAAAUCAUCCUUUUAUUAUCAUCAA